GACGAACGCUGGCGGCGUGCUUAACACAUGCAAGUCGAGCGGUAAGGCCCUUUCGGGGGUACACGAGCGGCGAACGGGUGAGUAACACGUGGGUGACCUGCCCUCAGCUCUGGGAUAAGCCUGGGAAACUGGGUCUAAUACUGGAUAUGACUCCACGGUGCAUGUCGUGGGGUGGAAAGCCUUGUGCGGCUGAGGAUGGGCCCGCGGCCUAUCAGCUUGUUGGUGGGGUGUGGCCUACCAAGGCGACGACGGGUAGCCGGCCUGAGAGGGCGACCGGCCACACUGGGACUGAGACACGGCCAGACUCCUACGGGAGGCAGCAGUGGGGAAUCUUGCGCAAUGGGCGAAAGCCUGACGCAGCGACGCCGCGUGAGGGAUGACGGCCUGGUGU
RNAcentral lists this ribosomal RNA (391 nucleotides) under uncultured bacterium. RNAcentral describes it as "bacterial SSU rRNA". It matches the Rfam family "Bacterial small subunit ribosomal RNA", at positions 28 to 422 of the family's 1533-position model. The record is from RNAcentral.